UCCCUAAAUCUUACUUAAGUGGAAAACGAUGUGAAGUUACUUAAACAACCAGGAGGUUGGCUUAGAAGCAGCCAUCCUUUAAAGAAAGCGUAAUAGCUCACUGGUCUAGUGAUUUUGCGCGGAAAAUAUAACGGGGCUAAAGUAAGUACCGAAGCUGUAGACUUGCGCACAACUUAGAUUAUUUAAGUUUAGAAUAUGAGAAACUAAGUUAUAUGUUUAGUUAUAUUUUUACUGAUUUUUAUAGAGUAAAGAUAGAAAUAAAACUUAGUAAAAUCAGUAAAAAUAUUCUUAGACUAAAGUUAAGUAGUUUAAGUUGUGUGCAAGUGGUAGGAGAGCGUUCUAUUUGCGUCGAAGGUAUACCGGUAAGGAGUGCUGGAGCGAAUAGAAGUGAGCAUGCAGGCAUGAGUAGCGAUAAUUAAUGUGAGAAUCAUUAACGCCGUAAACCCAAGGUUUCCUACGCGAUGCUCGUCAUCGUAGGGUUAGUCGGGUCCUAAGUCGAGUCCGAAAGGGGUAGACGAUGGCAAAUUGGUUAAUAUUCCAAUACCAACAUUAGUGUGCGAUGGAAGGACGCUUAGGGCUAAGGGGGCUAGCGGAUGGAAGUGCUAGUCUAAGGUCGUAGGAGGUUAUACAGGCAAAUCCGUAUAACAAUACUCCGAGAACUGAAAGGCUUUUUGAAGUCUUCGGAUGGAUAGAAGAACCCCUGAUGCCGUCGAGCCAAGAAAAGUUUCUAAGUUUAGCUAAUGUUGCCCGUACCGUAAACCGACACAGGUGGGUGGGAUGAGUAUUCUAAGGCGCGUGGAAGAACUCUCUUUAAGGAACUCUGCAAAAUAGCACCGUAUCUUCGGUAUAAGGUGUGGUUCGCUUCGUAUUAGGAUUUACUCCGAAAGCGAAGAAACUUACAACAAAGAGUCCCUCCCGACUGUUUACCAAAAACACAGCACUCUGCUAACUCGUAAGAGGAUGUAUAGGGUGUGACGCCUGCCCGGUGCUCGAAGGUUAAUUGAUGGGGUUAGCAUUAGCGAAGCUCUUGAUCGAAGCCCGAGUAAACGGCGGCCGUAACUAUAACGGUCCUAAGGUAGCGAAAUUCCUUGUCGGUUAAAUACCGACCUGCAUGAAUGGCGUAACGAGAUGGGAGCUGUCUCAAAGAGGGAUCCAGUGAAAUUGUAGUGGAGGUGAAAAUUCCUCCUACCCGCGGCAAGACGGAAAGACCCCGUGGACCUUUACUACAGCUUGACACUGCUACUUGGAUAAGAAUGUGCAGGAUAGGUGGGAGGCUUUGAGUAUAUGACGCCAGUUGUAUAUGAGCCAUUGUUGAGAUACCACUCUUUCUUAUUUGGGUAGCUAACCAGCUUGAGUUAUCCUCAAGUGGGACAAUGUCUGGUGGGUAGUUUGACUGGGGCGGUCGCCUCCCAAAUAAUAACGGAGGCUUACAAAGGUUGGCUCAGAACGGUUGGAAAUCGUUCGUAGAGUAUAAAGGUAUAAGCCAGCUUAACUGCAAGACAUACAAGUCAAGCAGAGACGAAAGUCGGUCUUAGUGAUCCGGUGGUUCUGUGUGGAAGGGCCAUCGCUCAAAGGAUAAAAGGUACCCCGGGGAUAACAGGCUGAUCUCCCCCAAGAGCUCACAUCGACGGGGAGGUUUGGCACCUCGAUGUCGGCUCAUCGCAUCCUGGGGCUGGAGCAGGUCCCAAGGGUAUGGCUGUUCGCCAUUUAAAGCGGUACGCGAGCUGGGUUCAGAACGUCGUGAGACAGUUCGGUCCCUAUCUGCCGUGGGCGUAAGAAGAUUGAAGAGAUUUGACCCUAGUACGAGAGGACCGGGUUGAACAAACCACUGGUGUAGCUGUUGUUCUGCCAAGAGCAUCGCAGCGUAGCUAAGUUUGGAAAGGAUAAACGCUGAAAGCAUCUAAGCGUGAAGCCAACUCUAAGAUGAAUCUUCUCUAAGCUCUCUAGAAGACUACUAGUUUGAUAGGCUGGGUGUGUAAUGGAUGAAAGUCCUUUAGCUGACCAGUACUAAUAGAGCGUUUGGCUUAUCUUUAAUAAAGCAU
RNAcentral lists this ribosomal RNA (2042 nucleotides) under Campylobacter coli. RNAcentral describes it as "partial 23S ribosomal RNA". It matches the Rfam family "Bacterial large subunit ribosomal RNA", at positions 1045 to 2925 of the family's 2925-position model. Lineage: Bacteria; Pseudomonadati; Campylobacterota; Epsilonproteobacteria; Campylobacterales; Campylobacteraceae. The record is from RNAcentral.